This 468-nucleotide ribosomal RNA is filed under the name uncultured bacterium. Its description in RNAcentral is "partial 16S ribosomal RNA". It matches the Rfam family "Bacterial small subunit ribosomal RNA", at positions 28 to 507 of the family's 1533-position model. The record is from RNAcentral.
GACGAACGCUGGCGGCGUGCUUAACACAUGCAAGUCGAACGGAAAGGCCCUGCUUUUGUGGGGUGCUCGAGUGGCGAACGGGUGAGUAACACGUGAGUAACCUGCCCUUGACUUUGGGAUAACUUCAGGAAACUGGGGCUAAUACCGGAUAGGAGCUCCUGCUGCAUGGUGGGGGUUGGAAAGUUUCGGCGGUUGGGGAUGGACUCGCGGCUUAUCAGCUUGUUGGUGGGGUAGUGGCUUACCAAGGCUUUGGCGGGUAGCCGGCCUGAGAGGGUGACCGGCCACAUUGGGACUGAGAUACGGCCCAGACUCCUACGGGAGGCAGCAGUGGGGAAUAUUGCACAAUGGGCGGAAGCCUGAUGCAGCAACGCCGCGUGCGGGAUGAUGGCCUUCGGGUUGUAAACCGCUUUCGCCUGUGACGAAGCGUGAGUGACGGUAAUGGGUAAAGAAGCACCGGCUAACUACGUG